This 555-nucleotide long non-coding RNA is filed under the name Phaseolus vulgaris (common bean). Its description in RNAcentral is "long non-coding RNA (PVUL_LNC002669)". The record is from RNAcentral. Lineage: Eukaryota; Viridiplantae; Streptophyta; Magnoliopsida; Fabales; Fabaceae.
AUAAAAGACAGAGACCUACGACAUCAGUCUGUAGAGGAAAUUACCACAAAGAACGUGAUCAUAAUGGAGGUAAUUUGAUGGAGGAACAUGAAGAUUGACAUAGUGAGAAUGAAUGAUUCCAUGGAGGACCUUCAGACUUCUCUACUAGUUAGUUUCGCAGAUGAUGUCAUCGUGAGGCUAUGAGAAGGUGAGGUAAGUGAAAAACUGUUUAGUUAACUUCUAAUAAUUAUCAUGACGUUGAGUUACUAACACAAAUGUAUUUGUUAGGAUAGUGGAGAAUUGAAGUUGUUAUCCAUUGGUCGAAAAUUAUUGAAGCAAUUGGACAAUUAUGCUAUUCUAAUUUAGGUAUAAGACAAACAACAUUAAUGUUUAUUAGGUUCAUUAUCAUAUGAAUACUUGAAUAAUUACUUUGUUCAAAUUACACAGACAUGGAUAUAUGAACAUUUUUUGGGCAUGGGGAGAAGAGAUAUAAAUCUCCUUUAUGAUGAGGUACACCUGCAUGCAACUCGAUAUCUCACUAGACGAGAUAUUUGUAUUGUUGGUGUUGUCUGGAUG